CCCCGGAGCUCUGCGCUCGCUGCCGUGGCCCCCGGGACAUCCAGCCUGAAGGAGAGUGGGGCAGGAAUUUUUCCGGGGCAAGACGCUUCAGCCUGGGAAGGCUGACCGCUCCCGAGCCGCUCGCAGGCCCCCAGAGUUGGGAGGAGAGCAGUCCAGACUACAGAAAAAGUAUGGACAGAGGCGUGGAGAGGAGGCAGUCAGCAAGUUCUUGUAACCGGCCCAUUUGGAAUUAGAGACCAUCCUGAUCCUCACCAAUCCCCACGGAGUCUCCACUCCUCUAGUGGGAAUCCAGAGACUGGAGGCCAGCCUAUUCCAAAAUCCCACCACUGCCAGCCUGCAAUUCCAUCUGCCACUCCUCUGAAUGAAAGCACUGUUGUCUCCUGAAGGUCCCAGAGGGACACAAUAAAUGGAGAAGGUA
This 418-nucleotide long non-coding RNA is filed under the name Pongo abelii (Sumatran orangutan). RNAcentral's name for it is "lincRNA". The record is from RNAcentral. Lineage: Eukaryota; Metazoa; Chordata; Mammalia; Primates; Hominidae.